CCUACGGGAGGCAGCAGUGGGGAAUAUUGCACAAUGGGCGAAAGCCUGAUGCAGCGACGCCGCGUGAGGGAUGACGGCCUUCGGGUUGUAAACCUCUUUCAGCAGGGAAGAAGCGAAAGUGACGGUACCUGCAGAAGAAGCACCGGCUAACUACGUGCCAGCAGCCGCGGUAAUACGUAGGGUGCGAGCGUUGUCCGGAAUUAUUGGGCGUAAAGAGCUUGUAGGCGGUUUGUCGCGUCUGCCGUGAAAAUUCGCGGCUCAACCUCGAACUUGCGGUGGGUACGGGCAGACUAGAGUGUGGUAGGGGAGACUGGAAUUCCUGGUGUAGCGGUGAAAUGCGCAGAUAUCAGGAGGAACACCGAUGGCGAAGGCAGGUCUCUGGGCCACUACUGACGCUGAGAAGCGAAAGCAUGGGGAGCGAACAGGAUUAGAUACCCUGGUAGUCCACGCCGUAAACGUUGGGAACUAGGUGUGGGUCUCAUCACGAGAUCGUCGCGCACGCUACGCAUUAACGUUACCCGUCCGUCGGGAGGUACGGCCGCCGACGGACGUAAACCGUACGAAACGAAGUAGUACGGCGUGAGACGUCGCCGACGGACGACGACGACGGGAGGUUAGG
Molecule: ribosomal RNA, 619 nt
Filed under: uncultured bacterium
Lineage: Bacteria
Description: bacterial SSU rRNA
Rfam family: Bacterial small subunit ribosomal RNA (bases 1-523)
Source: RNAcentral